Long non-coding RNA from Phascolarctos cinereus (koala), 282 nucleotides. RefSeq lists it as uncharacterized. The record is from RefSeq and is a predicted model, not a curated record. NCBI's taxonomy places the organism in Eukaryota, Metazoa, Chordata, Mammalia, Diprotodontia, Phascolarctidae.
GGGGGCGCACUCCUAGCUCCUAGGUGGGUGACAGUGACCAGGUGUGUCCCACCCUCCUAGAAAAUAAUGGUGCUUCGGGCCAGGCUGCAUAAUACUCAAGGGCAGCCAUGACUCCAUCCUGACAGGCACAUGAUGUUUUCACAUUCUUGAAGAGUUGCUGGAACAGGAGCAACAUGUUUUAACCUGUUUGUCAGUCCAGGUACCUGAGAGAGUUUGGUUUCAUCGUCGAUACCCAUGCUUAUAUCUGCCAGCUUCUUAAAUUUUGGCCCUAAGGAAUCCAAG